GAUGAAGAACGUAGUGAAAUGCGAUACGUAGUGUGAAUUGCAGAAUUCAGUGAAUCAUCGAAUCUUUGAACGCACAUUGCGCCCCUUGGUAUUCCAUGGGGCAUGCCUGUUCGAGCGUCAUUUGUACCUUCAAGCUCUGCUUGGUGUUGGGUGUUUGUCUCGCCUCUGCGUGUAGACUCGCCUCAAAACAAUUGGCAGCCGGCGUAUUGAUUUCGGAGCGCAGUACAUCUCGCGCUUUGCACUCAUAACGACGACGUCCAAAAGUACAUUUUUACACUCUUGACCUCGGAUCAGGUAGGGAUACCCGCUGAACUUAAGCAUAUCAAUAAGCGGAGGA
Molecule: unclassified non-coding RNA, 337 nt
Filed under: soil metagenome
Description: partial contains 5.8S ribosomal RNA, internal transcribed spacer 2, and large subunit ribosomal RNA
Rfam family: 5.8S ribosomal RNA (bases 1-120)
Source: RNAcentral